RNAcentral lists this long non-coding RNA (384 nucleotides) under Mytilus galloprovincialis (Mediterranean mussel). The record is from RNAcentral. Lineage: Eukaryota; Metazoa; Mollusca; Bivalvia; Mytilida; Mytilidae.
UCGUGAUUAUAUAUUUUUAUUUCAACAUUAGAUUCUUUUUUUAAUUUUUUUUAUACUCUAAAAAGAGCCGUUUUUUUAUCUGCAAUUGUCUUCUUUUGUAAUAUUCUGUCCCAGGGUAAUGACUUUUACCGCUUCUUCAGAAGUGUUUUAACAUUUGGUUUUCCUUAAACACUGCAGUGUAAACCGAUUUGUCAGUUCCUAUCUCUGUAUGUUUCUCUUUAUACGAUUUAUUGCAUUGCCUUCCUCUCUGCAUGGUCAACUAAGUGGAUUGUUUCUUCACAGUUCCGUUAAUUCUGGUACCAUUCUAACAUCAACGUUGACUUACGACUUUUCCCCCCAACACGAAAUGGUUAUUCCCAUGUGACUCCGACUUUGACUAAAGAC